Molecule: ribosomal RNA, 484 nt
Filed under: uncultured bacterium
Lineage: Bacteria
Description: partial 16S ribosomal RNA
Rfam family: Bacterial small subunit ribosomal RNA
Source: RNAcentral
CUUUCCCUCUUUCUUCCUGCCUAACACAUGCAAGUCGAGCGGAUGAAGGGAGCUUGCUCCUGGAUUCAGCGGCGGACGGGUGAGUAAUGCCUAGGAAUCUGCCUGGUAGUGGGGGAUAACGUCCGGAAACGGGCGCUAAUACCGCAUACGUCCUGAGGGAGAAAGUGUGGGAUCUUCGGACCUCACGCUAUCAGAUGAGCCUAGGUCGGAUUAGCUAGUUGGUGGGGUAAAGGCGUACCAAGGCGACGAUCCGUAACUGGUCUGAGAGGAUGAUCAGUCACACUGGAACUGAGACACGGUCCAGACUCCUACGGGAGGCAGCAGUGGGGAAUAUUGGACAAUGGGCGAAAGCCUGAUCCAGCCAUGCCGCGUGUGUGAAGAAGGUCUUCGGAUUGUAAAGCACUUUAAGUUGGGAGGAAGGGCAGUAAGUUAAUACCUUGCUGUUUUGACGUUACCAACAGAAUAAGCACCGGCUAACUUCGUG